AUAGGCCCCUAACGGAAGGGAAAGUUAGCCGAUAACUAACUUUUAACUAGUUCAAAUCUAGUCCUAUUUU
Molecule: transfer RNA, 70 nt
Filed under: Ophiura albida
Lineage: Eukaryota; Metazoa; Echinodermata; Ophiuroidea; Amphilepidida; Ophiuridae
Description: transfer RNA-Ile
Source: RNAcentral